GACGAACGCUGGCGGCGUGCUUAACACAUGCAAGUCGAACGGAAAGGCCCUGCUUUUGUGGGGUGCUCGAGUGGCGAACGGGUGAGUAACACGUGAGUAACCUGCCCUUGACUUUGGGAUAACUUCAGGAAACUGGGGCUAAUACCGGAUAGGAGCUCCUGCUGCAUGGGGGGGGUUGGAAAGUUUCGGCGGUGGGGGAUGGACUCGCGGCUUAUCAGCUUGUGGGUGGGGUAGUGGCUUACCAAGGCUUUGACGGGUAGCCGGCCUGAGAGGGUGACCGGCCACAUUGGGACUGCGGUACGGCCCAGACUCCUACGGGAGGCAGCAGUGGGGAAUAUUGCACAAUGGGCGGAAGCCUGAUGCAGCAACGCCGCGUGCGGGAUGACGGCCUUCGGGUUGUAAACCGCUUUCGCCUGUGACGAAGCGUGAGUGACGGUAAUGGGUAAAGAAGCACCGGCUAACUACGUG
This 468-nucleotide ribosomal RNA is filed under the name uncultured bacterium. Its description in RNAcentral is "partial 16S ribosomal RNA". It matches the Rfam family "Bacterial small subunit ribosomal RNA", at positions 28 to 507 of the family's 1533-position model. The record is from RNAcentral.